CUGAAUCAACACUAAUUAAAGAUGGACGACGUGGACAGCAACCAGACGACAGAUGAAUACUUCUUGAACCAUCCCAGACAGUGACUGUGGGAAACACGCUGUAUCAAGGUGGGGCCGACGGAGCAGAGGACCACAAGGGUGGAGCUAAAGACCACCAUAGCAGAGCAGAUGGGAACAAAGAUCCUCACGGCAGAGCAGAUGACCACCACAGUAGAGCAGAUGGGACGAAGAUCCCC
Molecule: long non-coding RNA, 236 nt
Organism: Carassius auratus (goldfish)
Lineage: Eukaryota; Metazoa; Chordata; Actinopteri; Cypriniformes; Cyprinidae
Exons: 3
Source: RefSeq, a predicted model, not a curated record